CCUCUACAGCUGCUCCCACGCAGGAAGCACUGCCAUGUGCCAGCACAGGGCUCUAGGCCCCAGCAUCAGAGGACUACGGGUUACCUGAGGGGGACCUAGGCACCCAUACAGAACUCUCAACCACCCACCUGAGCAGAAAUCCUGAACGCCCUUCCCACACCGGACACCCAGCUGCUACCCACAUGCAGGAACUCCAGCUGCCACUCCCACGAGGACCCCCAUCUAGAAACGUGGGGCUCCCCAGGUCACCUCCAUCUUGGGACUUUGCAGCAACUGAGAUAGUCUCCUUAAGCACAGUAUCCUGCCUGCACCGGGGGAAAUCACACAGGCUCUAAGCCAACAGCCACAGAGCUCACCUCUCAAUACACAGCCCAAUGUCUCCCACCCUACCUGACACCCCAUCACUGAAAGCAGCUGCCUCCAUCUUGGGUCACUUUCAUCACAAUCUUUAGUGGAGGCAACUCCCAGUUUGGAACUAAGGCUGAUCAGGUACCCGUAAUUUCUAACUCCCCCUUCCACCAGCAGCUGCUAACCCAGCACAGUGACUGCCCAAUACAAAACAGCUCUCUGCAACAGAUGCACAGCCACCAAAGGGCAACACACAAGACCUCCAGAGAGAAAGGUGUCUUAUUGGGAAGUAGAAAGGAAGAGGGUGAGUGAGAGACUGUUUACAGACUUAACAUGGAGACCAGGAACUCUGGGGUCUACCGUGAGAUAAGGAGAUAAGACUAGGUGCCCACAUCACACGAGCAGGUUCCAAAGGAGAUCCUUGAGGUGCAGUCUCCCUUUGGUGGCCAGUGGGUGCCACAUCCCACCUCCAGGUGCCCUGCACCCAAGACCAAUCCUCUCACCCUGGUAACAUUCACCAUCGUGAGAGAAGGGAUACCAGCUAACAACAGAGAGCCACACCUAUUGGAUGAGAAGGGAAACAGGAAAGAUACUGAUC
This 946-nucleotide long non-coding RNA is filed under the name Marmota monax (woodchuck). Lineage: Eukaryota; Metazoa; Chordata; Mammalia; Rodentia; Sciuridae. The record is from RNAcentral.